This 1918-nucleotide long non-coding RNA is filed under the name Nicotiana tabacum (common tobacco). RNAcentral describes it as "long non-coding RNA (NTAB_LNC009517)". The record is from RNAcentral. Lineage: Eukaryota; Viridiplantae; Streptophyta; Magnoliopsida; Solanales; Solanaceae.
CCCCCCCCCCCCAAAUCGGAUUUUGGCCUCUCUUUCACAUUUCAAGAGCUAGCUUCAUCUUCUUACAAGAAAACAAAAAAGAAGGCAGCCGUUUGAACCAUAGAGACCUCACGCUAAAGACCAAAAAAGAGGCUUCAGCACAAAAAGGACCAGCUGCUGCUCUCUUCAUCUUCCUCCUCUUCAACGCUGUCACCAUCGCCGGCGAACUAGGCAGCCCAUCACACUGUUAAUUUCUAGUACUCUGCUGCCCCUUCCCCGAAUUUUCUAGACACUCAUCACACACAUAGUGACGAGAGACGAACAAUAGCGAAGAGGAGGUGUGACAAGCUGCCUAUCUUCAUAACGCCAAAAGCUCCAAAAGCUCUACUGGAAAACGCAGCAACACAGCAAGGAAAACAAUUUCAAAAAUCAAUCUAGACAGCCCGCUUCUGCCCUGUUCUAACCCAGUCAAAGUUAUGUCCAUUUUCGGGUUCGCCGGCGAGUUUCGAUACUCCGUCUGGGGGCUGGUCAUGGUCCUGUCCAUUUCUGCUUGUUCAAGUUAUUAAGCAUCAAGUUUUGUUUGGAUGAGGAAAAGUUGAAGUUCAUAGAGGCAAUAUAGCUAAAGUCAGUAAUUGUGACAAUUAUAUUGGAUUUGGAAAUCACCUCGCAAAGCCAUUAUCCGUGAUAAAUGGCGCGAAAACUUGAGCUGUGAAGAAGAUGUUAAGGUAUUGGAGAAAUGUAUGCGUGUUCUAUUACUCAAGUGUGAAAACUUGAGCUUCAGGUACUGAACCGAAACGUAGAGGCUCAUUCUGUUUCCAUUUUACACAAUUGUUUAAAUGUUUGGAGCAAGUCGUUUGUUUAAUUUGUUGAUAUGCUGUAUUUGUUCUGCUCAUUACUCUCUGUUGUUGGCAGUAACUUGUUGGUUCGAGAGUGAGGCAUAAAAUCUUAGUUCAUUUAAAUCUAAUUUGACACUUAACAAGUAUGAGUAAAGUUGGGUUUAAACUCAUUUAAGCAGAAUUUAGUUUACAUCAAUCUAACUUUAAGGUGAUUUCUUCUGUUUAUCCGAGUUAAUUUAAUCGUUAGGAGUAUGCUUAGGCCAUUAAUAUUCAUAAACAUCGUAGCUUUUUCCUUAGGCAUGAUUAAUAAUAAAUCAUCGUGACUACGGGUACGGUUCCCGUGACGUAGUUGUGAUACACAAUUCUAAAAUCCAGGGGUACAUUUAUGUGACCCGGCCACAAUUUCAUCUUGUUAAUAAAAUAAACAUGUUGUAGAUCGUGUGUACGGUUCCCGUGACAUGAUUCGUAUUGUGUAAUCAAAUAAUUAGUUGUAUGGCAAUCGGAUUUUAAAAGCGGUUUUAAAAAGGGACAAAAUGCACAUAGGUUUCAAAAAUGUAAUUAAUCAGAUAAUUAGGCCAAUAAUAAUAGUUGAGCGACCGCGCUAAAAUCACGGAACCCGAGAAUGCCUAACACCUUCUGUUGGGUUAACAGAAUUUCUUACCUAAAUUUCUGUGUUCGUAAACCAUAAAUAAGAGUCAAACUUCCUCGAUUCGGGAUUCAAACCGGUGACUUGGGAUCAUCUCCACUCUGAAUUUAAUAUAGUCAUUUCGAUUGUCACUUUAAUUGGAAAAACUCCUCUAUACCCCCUUCCUGUUGUAGGAAGUGGAGGUGUAACAGCUCUGGCGACUCUGCUGGGGACAAGAACCCAAAAUCUCUGGUUCAGGGUUCUGAAUUCGAGCUUAGAAUAACUGUUAUAGUUGGAUUUUAUUUAUUAUCUUAUUUUUACGUGUUUGAGUUUAAUGCGCUAAAUGUUGCUUUUUGCCGCUUUGAUAUUAUUUGAACUCUGUAUAAACUGCUGCAAAACCCCUCUCUUCUAAUCUUCUGGGAAGUGCACACUGACGUGACUUCUUUUUUGUUAGUGUCAUAUCCAAUUUAGAACAAGG